RNAcentral lists this ribosomal RNA (253 nucleotides) under uncultured bacterium. RNAcentral's name for it is "partial 16S ribosomal RNA". It matches the Rfam family "Bacterial small subunit ribosomal RNA", at positions 524 to 776 of the family's 1533-position model. The record is from RNAcentral.
UACGUAUGGGGCAAGCGUUAUCCGGAUUUACUGGGUGUAAAGGGGGCGCAGACGGCGAUGCAAGCCAGGAGUGAAAGCCCGGGGCCCAACCCCGGGACUGCUCUUGGAACUGCGUGGCUGGAGUGCAGGAGGGGCAGGCGGAAUUCCUGGUGUAGCGGUGAAAUGCGUAGAUAUUAGGAGGAACACCAGUGGCGAAGGCGGUCUGCUGGACAGCAACUGACGCUGAGGCGCGAAAGCGUGGGGAGCAAACAGG